This is a long non-coding RNA of Ficedula albicollis (Collared flycatcher), 2342 nucleotides long. RefSeq lists it as uncharacterized. The record is from RefSeq and is a predicted model, not a curated record. The transcript is spliced from 6 exons. Lineage: Eukaryota; Metazoa; Chordata; Aves; Passeriformes; Muscicapidae.
GAGGAAAAAAACCCCAAAAAACAAACCAAAAUGAAGAGAAAGGAAAUGAGAGGCGGAAAAAAUGGGGGAAAAGACAACUUUCAGAGACUGGAAUUAAAACCCGAGCCCGAGGCCCCUCCUGCCGCAGCCACGGGGACUCCUGCGACUCCAGGCUGGACGUGGGUUCACCAUACACGAUGCUCAUUUUCUGGCUGACAGGUCUCUGGCCCUGGUGAGAGUUCGCUGGGAAUACCCUGCUCAGAUCGGCUCACUAUUACAUCAAUCAGGAGUGGGGGUUAUCUGGAAAACCUCACCCUCCAGAAGCCACGAGGAGCAGCAGCAGGACCUUGUCUUGAGGGACCCUCAGCAGAAGCCCCUCGCCACGGCUGAUCCCACUCCUGCUGUCCCCGCUGCUGCUGGCAGCUGCUGGAGCACCCUGCGGAUCCUGAUUUACACCGGAGCCUGUCCAGGGCUGCUGAGCAGCCCCAGCUGAGGCACGGGCAGGGUGCAGAGGACACCAGGACACCCCCAUCCUGCCACUGCCCUCACCGGGGGAACAAACCCGUGCCACCCACAAUUCCUGGCUGUGAGGCCUCAUGACUCCAAAACAGCAUUCCUGGGGCAUUCCUGAUGUCAUGGACACCUGACUGGGUUUUUUCAGCUCUCCAUGGAUGUCGUGUGGCCGAGUCCAUGAACCAGAAGCUGCAGCUCGCUCUUGGACCUCCAAAAAUGGCUCAGCAAGGUCCAAAGGGCUGUUUCACUCACACCACUGGCAGUUCCCUUCCCUUUCCAAGGAUUAGGAUGAGGCAAAUACCUUGAGUCUGGUUUAAUCCUCAAUACCUGAUUCUGCAGGAGUCUGCUGGCACACACACAUUCCAGUAAUAGCCAGGUAACUCACAGGGCUAAACCACUCCGGGUUUUUUUUUCAUUAUAACCUCCUUUUAAAGCACGUUUAAAUGCUUCCCCACAGGCUCAUGCAAGGGCUGUUAAGGGCUUCAUUUGAAUAAAUAAGGGCAUAGGUAGAGGAGGAACAUCAGCAGAGCCCCCUGGAAACCCAGCAGCAGCCAUGGCAGCAGUGGGCUGGAGUGGAGAAGGGCCUCCAUGUUAUAUAUUCUAUAAAGUAGAGUAAUUAAGUAUUACUAGUUUUGAUGACUUCAAACAGAGUGACUCCAGGAAAUAAGCCCCUUCUUUAUAAUUAGUGGGAUUUCCUCUGCAUCAAACGGAGAGAUUGAUUCUUUAAUCUGCUCACAUGCUUUUGAUUUGGUCUUUCAGCUGCUUGUACCAACUGCUUCUACUCCCUGCUCUUGCAGAUAAAACCUUGCAAAGGAGAUUUUAGGAAGGCAUGACCUGAGCUGAGGUCCAGGAUUUUCUUUGUGUGUGGCUGUUUUGUGUAUUCCUAAUUUGCCAGAGAUGAUGAUCAUGAUGACAACAAUAAUAAAAAAUAACACAGACAUGGGUUUUAAACAUCCAGCUAUGUUUAGGUCGAGUAAUUGGAGUUUGGAGUUUUAUUUAUUGCCUUCUGAGCACUCCUCUUAGCUCUGGCUCAUGCUCUUUAACACCUGAAAAGGUAAUUUUGGCUUGCUGACCCAGGUGGGACUCACUGUUGCUCUUGUAAGGGCACACACCCAGCACCAGGCUGGUCUGUCAGCAUUCCGGGGCUGGAUCUGCGCAGAGUGUCUUUGGAGUAUCUCAGGUGUUGGACCUGGUUCAGUACUAAACACGGGAAUUUGGAAAGCUCUGUCUGAAAUUAAACGGAUUGUGGCUGCCCCAUCCCUGGGAGUGCCCAAGGCCAGGUUGAACAGGGCUUGCAGCGACCUGGCUCAGGGAGGGGGUGGAACAAGAUGAGCUUUAAGGUCCCUUCCGACCCAAACCAUUCCAUGGAAAUCCCUGCAAGCUGCUGUUUUCCAAAUGCAGGGCUCAGCAGGGAGUGGGAACUUGCCCCCUGCCCCUGGUGGUGAGCAGCCAGCCCCAUCCUGGGGUCUCCAUGGGGCCAGUGGCACCACACCAGUGACGUGGGAAAUGUGGUCUGGGGUCUGCUGUGGUUCCAGGCGUGGACUAAACCUCCCAUGUGCUGCUCCCACCUCCAAAGCAGCUCAGCCCUUGAAUCAUCUCAGCAAACUUCCCUCUGGCAUGUGAGGUUCUUCUGGGGCUGCUGAGGAGACAAAAAGGAGGGGAAACUGCUUCCCAUCCACCUGGAAAGGUGCAGGAUGAGCAAGGGAGAGGCCCGAGGGAUGAGCAAGAGGGUGAGAACAGGCCAGUGGCUCUGUUUUGGCAGCUGGAGGGCAGGGACUGGGUGCAUCGCCCAAAGACGGGCUGGGAAGGGCAGAGUGCGGCGGCAGCAGCUCGGAGGGAGGGGAUGGAGC